UGGCGGCGUGCCUAACACAUGCAAGUCGAACGAGAAAGUGGAGCAAUCCAUGAGUAAAGUGGCGACCGGGUGAGUAACACGUGACUAACCUGCCUUUGAGUGGGGGAUAACCUCGGGAAACCGGGGCUAAUACCGCAUAAUGCCUACGGGUUAAAGGAGCAAUUCGCUUGAAGAGGGGGUCGCGGCUGAUUAGCUAGUUGGCGGGGUAACGGCCCACCAAGGCGAUGAUCGGUAGCCGGCCUGAGAGGGCGCACGGCCACACUGGAACUGAAACACGGUCCAGACUCCUACGGGAGGCAGCAGUGGGGAAUUUUGCGCAAUGGGGGAAACCCUGACGCAGCAACGCCGCGUGGAGGAUGAAGUCCUUUGGGACGUAAACUCCUUUCGACCGGGACGAUAAUGACGGUACCGGUGGAAGAAGCCCCGGCUAACUUCGUGCCAGCAGCCGCGGUAAUACGAGGGGGGCAAGCGUUGUUCGGAAUUAUUGGGCGUAAAGGGCGCGUAUGCGGUGCGGUAAGUCACCUGUGAAACCUCUGGGCUUAACUCA
RNAcentral lists this ribosomal RNA (547 nucleotides) under uncultured bacterium. Its description in RNAcentral is "bacterial SSU rRNA". It matches the Rfam family "Bacterial small subunit ribosomal RNA", at positions 37 to 616 of the family's 1533-position model. The record is from RNAcentral.